UCCCGUCACUCAAAUCGUACGCUAUUUUUACAUAUCUCUCCGCGGUUUAUUGCGUCGUCGUCUGCCACUUACUUCAGCCGCUUUUGAAUCGGUGCGAUUUGUUUUCUGGAAUUUGUACCAUGUUCGGUGAUAAGGAAGCCAGUAGUUUGGUUAUGAACUAUGUAAUACUCAUAUUACUCUUACUGAUUCUUUGGGUAUUGUAUCUUGGGAUGUAGAAGAAAAUGCGGUGAUUAAAUUAAUGUAACACUAAAGAGAUGGGGAACACAUGCAUCUUCGGUGGACAACUUCAUUCACUCAGAAUUCAUGUAAUAUUAAAGUUUUACUUCCUCUUCAACAGAAUUCCUACUGUUAUACCAUCAUGUUCUUCGACCGAAAAUUGAGAAGUUUGGUUCAAGAACAAGUCAUUGUCUUCUGCCUUCUUAAAAAUGUAUAGAGAAUACUAAAAAUAUGUCAUUUGCGUUAAAUUCACAGUAAUUUUCUUAAACAAUAUUUAAACUUUUAUGUAAUAAAAUACUGUUUAAAAUCA
This is a long non-coding RNA of Stegodyphus dumicola, 526 nucleotides long. RefSeq lists it as uncharacterized. The record is from RefSeq and is a predicted model, not a curated record. NCBI's taxonomy places the organism in Eukaryota, Metazoa, Arthropoda, Arachnida, Araneae, Eresidae.